ACUUUUUUAUUGGCAAGUGACCGGCAUGGGACCGGGUCUCAGGUCCAAAAGUAUCAGUUGGGUACGGGUACUGGUACAUUAAACUUAGACCUGUCGGGUCUGGGUACAGGUCCGGGCAUAUGUAAUCUAUCCUAGGUUCAGGUCUGAGUUCAGCUGGACCCAACCCAUUGCCACCCCUAAAUAGAAGGCUCCUCAAGGUGGGGCUUGCUACCCUAGGUGGCACUCUAUGGGCCCCACCCAAUUGACA
RNAcentral lists this long non-coding RNA (247 nucleotides) under Amborella trichopoda. Its description in RNAcentral is "long non-coding RNA (ATRI_LNC004106)". Lineage: Eukaryota; Viridiplantae; Streptophyta; Magnoliopsida; Amborellales; Amborellaceae. The record is from RNAcentral.